UACGUAGGCCCCGAGCGUUACCCGGAGUUACUGGGCGUAAAGCGUCCGUAGCUGGGUUUGUAAGUCUAUCUUCAAAAACCGAAGCUUAACUUCGGAGAGGGGGUAGAUACUGCCAAUCUAGAGAUGCUGAGAGGUUAGUGGAAUUUCCGGUGGAGCGGUGGAAUGCGUUGAUAUCGGAAGGAACGCCAAAAGUGAAGACAGCUAACUAUCGGUUUUCUGACAGUCAGGGACGACAGCUUGGGUAGCGAACCGGAUUAGAUACCCGAGUAGUCCCAGCCGUAAACUCUGUGGAUUAGGUGUCACAUAUUCUUCGGGAAUAUGUGGUGUCGUAGUGAAGACGUUAAAUCCACCACCUGGGGAGUACGGUCGCAAGAUUGAAACUUAAAGGAAUUGGCGGGGGAGCACCACAAGGGGUGCGGCGUGCCGUUUAAUUCAAAUCUACGCGGAGAAUCUUACCAGGAGCGACGGUAAUAUGAAGGUCAGCUUGAAGAGCUUACCUGAUAAGCCGAGAGGUACUGCAUGGCCGCCGUCAGCUCGUGCCGUGAGGUGUCCUGUUAAGUCAGGUAACGAGCGAGACCUAUACUUCUAAUUGCUAACAGCUUUGGGACUGAGCACUUUAGAGGGACUGCCCGGGAAACUGGGAGGAAGGUGUAGGCAACGGCAGGUCUGUAUGAUCCGAAUCCCCUGGGCUACACGCGCGCAACAAUGGUAAAGACAAUGGGAUGCGACUCCGAAAGGAGAAGCUAAUCCUUCAAACUUUAUCUUAGUUCAGAUCGAGGGUUGUAACUCACCCUCGUGACGAUGGAAUCCCUAGUAAUCGGGUUUUAUCAUGGCCCGGUGAAUAUGUCCCGGCUCCU
This 857-nucleotide ribosomal RNA is filed under the name uncultured archaeon. RNAcentral describes it as "SSU rRNA". It matches the Rfam family "Archaeal small subunit ribosomal RNA", at positions 474 to 1337 of the family's 1478-position model. The record is from RNAcentral.